UGAGCAACCUGGCUCUAAGAGGGGGACAACAGUUGGAAACGACUGCUAAUACCGCAUAACGUAUCGGGAUGGCAUCUUCCUGAUACCAAAGAUUUUAUCGCUUAGAGAUGGGCUCGCGUCUGAUUAGAUAGUUGGCGGGGUAACGGCCCACCAAGUCGACGAUCAGUAGCCGGACUGAGAGGUUGAACGGCCACAUUGGGACUGAGACACGGCCCAGACUCCUACGGGAGGCAGCAUG
RNAcentral lists this ribosomal RNA (238 nucleotides) under uncultured bacterium. Its description in RNAcentral is "partial 16S ribosomal RNA". It matches the Rfam family "Bacterial small subunit ribosomal RNA", at positions 118 to 353 of the family's 1533-position model. The record is from RNAcentral.